Molecule: non-coding RNA, 931 nt
Organism: Phascolarctos cinereus (koala)
Lineage: Eukaryota; Metazoa; Chordata; Mammalia; Diprotodontia; Phascolarctidae
Source: RefSeq, a predicted model, not a curated record
AUCUAACUAAGGAAAAGCUUCCUAACAACUACAGCUCCCCCAAAUGAGAUGGGCUUCCUGGACAGAGACCUAGAAGACAAGCAAAGGAGAGGACUCCAGAAUGGGAGCACCUCCAGGUUCCAGCUUUCCAAUCUGGUUGGAUGUAUUUCUCUCUGGCAGAUCCAAGUGAGGUGAUGGGCAUCCUGCCUUCUUAUGCCAUACCCACUGGGAUGGGUCACUCAGCCCCCAUAGAUAAAGGACUCACACUUCUGGGUGUCCAUAUUGAAAAACCACCUAGUGAAAACCCCUCGGCAGACACCCUGAUCUUCAGGCAACUGGCAUUUGCCUAAAGAGAGACACCAAGAAGGUCAGUGCAAGGCUGCAGAGGACCAAGGCUUAUGUCGGGGCUACUUCCUGCGCUGGUUCUUUAACAAGACAUCCCAAAAGUGUGAACCCUUCAUCUAUGGAGGGUGCGGGGGCAGCAGCAACAACUUCCACUCCAAGCUUCAGUGCAUUGGAAAGUGCAUCCUUUGGGGCUAAAGAGAAGAAACCAUCUAUUGUCAGGCAGAGCCCAGCCUCCCCUGGCCUCUGGAGGGUUCAGCCUGCAGGCCUCUAUGCCAAUCCCUGGUGUCCAUGCCCCUAGUCUUGUGCUUACUCCAGGAACUGAUUCCUCACUCCCCAUCUAUCUGCACCCUCCUCGUCUCUCUCCAUAAACCCUCAGUCCCAUGUUCUCCACCUGGGUUGGUAUUAACCCUCCCUUCAGGUCCCUGAAAUAAAGUGCCCAUCUCCCCAUGGAACUGUCCAGCGUGUCAUCUAGCUUUUGCCCCAUGCUCAGCCUAUGCUAGUCAAGGUCCCCUUAGAAAGUAGCUAGCCAGCUCCAGUACAGUGUUUCCAGGUAUCCUGUCUUCUCAGUUCCAUCCCUGAACACACUGUGGUCCAAGCAGAAGGCAAC